Molecule: non-coding RNA, 27 nt
Filed under: Cricetulus griseus (Chinese hamster)
Lineage: Eukaryota; Metazoa; Chordata; Mammalia; Rodentia; Cricetidae
Source: RNAcentral
GCCAGGUGAAGAACUGACUGGAAGGAG